This 440-nucleotide ribosomal RNA is filed under the name uncultured bacterium. Its description in RNAcentral is "bacterial SSU rRNA". It matches the Rfam family "Bacterial small subunit ribosomal RNA", at positions 340 to 773 of the family's 1533-position model. The record is from RNAcentral.
UACGGAAGGCAGCAGUGGGGAAUAUUGCACAAUGGGCGCAAGCCUGAUGCAGCCAUGCCGCGUGUAUGAAGAGGGCCUUCGGGUUGUAAAGUACUUUCAGUCGUGAGGAAGGUGUUAAGGUUAAUAACCUUAGCAAUUGACGUUAGCGACAGAAGAAGCACCGGCUAACUCCGUGCCAGCAGCCGCGGUAAUACGGAGGGUGCGAGCGUUAAUCGGAAUUACUGGGCGUAAAGGGCACGCAGGCGGUUAAUUAAGUUGGAUGUGAAAUCCCCGGGCUUAACCUGGGAAUGGCAUUCAAGACUGGUUAGCUAGAGUCUUGUAGAGGGGGUUAGAAUUCCAUGUGUAGCGGUGAAAUGCGUAGAGAUGUGGAGGAAUACCGGUGGCGAAGGCGGCCCCUGGACAAAGGCUGACGCUCAUGUGCGAAAGCGUGGGGAGCAAAC